AAAGUGCAAACUCCUGGAGAAACAAAAGGAAAUUUAUGAUGCUCUGAAUUAGAUGUCCAGCCACAGACAUUGUGAUGACUUCCUACUCAGGCCGUGAUCAGUGUCCUGCUUCCUUGGCAUGACCCUUUGGCAACCUGAGAAGCUGGGAAAGGUCCUAGGUCAGGAGGAAGAGAACAUGAGUUGUACUCCAGGUCUCAUGAUCAACACAUCAGGUCUCAAUUUCUUCACCUACAAAAUGGUAAUAAUAAUUUUCCCUAAGAUGAAAAGUGUUUUUGAAAAAGUAUAAAAACAGUGCAAACUAAGGCACUAUUAUCAAGCAGGUGUGCCUCACUUCAAACCUAAACAAUUUUUAUGGAUAAAUGUAAGAAAAAUAGCAAACUAAAGACAUCUCUGCCACAGAGACAGGUGAGUUCUAAAUGAUGUACUCUUUGGAGUGAGUGCACGAUUCAAAACAAAGCAGGGGGCCUAGAGCAGCAAUAGUAGCAGCACCAAGAAACGUAUUAGAAAAGCAUAUUCCUGGGGCUCCACACCAGAUCUGACUCAGAAACUGAGGGCGGGGCCCAGCCGCCAGUGUUUCACAAGCCCUGCCCCCUCACCCAGGUGAGUCUGACUCAGGCUCAGAUUGGAGAACCACAGGUCUAAGCCUGUAACAUUACCCGGCAUUCUUCCUCUUGUGGUUGAGCUCCAGGAAGCCAAAGCCAAGCUGCCCAAGGAUCAUGCCAACUACCAGGAAGCAACAGACUGACCAUGCCAGAUGAGGAAGUCACCACGAUGUCUGGGCAAACUAGAACAAAUGGAUGGAUGUUAAGGAAGCCGAUUUUGCACCAUGUCAGGAAGAACUUUUUGCAGAAGGAAGUUGAGUGAUUCAAAGCAUGGGAAAUAUUGAAUGUGUUAUCGCUGGUUUGAAAAUGGAGGAGACCACAUGGCAAGGAAUGAGGAAGGCCUCUAUGAGGUGAAACAAGCCCCUGGCUGAGGGUCAGCAAGCAAUCGUAACAUCAGUCCUACAAAGGCAAGGAACUGCAUGGUGCUAACAGUGAGAAUGAUCUUGGCACUAUUUUUUAAAGACAAGUUCAAGUCACCUAUCCAGGUGGAAAAUGCCAUCAGGCUUGAGAAAUGCUGUACUGAUAAUCUCUGCCAGAGCUGCUGGCUUGCUGUGGGUUCUCUUCUGGAAAGGCAAGGCCUGUUAUUAUUAUUUUUCUUUAAAUUUCUAAAAAGAGGUAAAUUUAUGAAAUAUGUACAAGUGUAUCUUCCAGUUGUCAUCUACGUCAUUUAUCACUGAAAACAUUCCUUCUCUGUCAUAUGCACACAGCCUACUCCCAGUUGUCUUCCUGUUAAUCCUCUAUGGAAAGUGCUCACAAAGCUGAUUCCACUCUGGCUGUGGGGGAUGUGAGUUUGAAUGUACCAUCCUACUACUUCUUUUCCAUGUGGCAGCAGGUUGAGCUUAUGGGGCCAUUCAUCAUCGUUAUUGACAUAUUUAUAUGUGGGCAUAUUGAAUGGUGCUAUGGGGAUUUUAGAUAAAUAAGGGAAAUAUGAAAGAGCGUGUGGUUCAUGCCUUUGAGGAUGUUAAAUUACAGGCAGUCACCAUAUGCAAAUGCUUAAUCAUGUCACAUGGUGACCAUUUACUGAUGCUCCUAUACCAUAUUUCCAUAACAUUAGUGUUCUCAUAUGGUGCAAUAAUCUCCUGCCAAGAUAUGCAAAAACAACUAAAUGAGGAGCCUUUUCCAAAACGUUUUCAUAUUUCUGCUACCAAAUUCAUCUAAUAGAAAUAACUCUUUGAGUAAGUGCCACUUGCCUACUGUGGAAAAUACUUUAUCUGGUGGCACUGUUGAAACAUUCAAUAUGAAUUACAGGCACUUACUGCAGGGGAAUCACGGAAUCCUAUUUCCCCCUUCCAAACCAAGAGAAAAAUUGCUACCUACCCUAGGUAUUCUUUCUUUGUAAAGACAAAUGACAAUGCAUUCGCUUUCAGGGUAGUUCAGCUAUUUCUCACCUAGAAGAGUGGUUUAAUUCUCUAUUUUAACUGCUCAGGUAAAAGGGUCCUUCUGCAUCUCAAAGAAAGCUUUUGGCAAUAAUUUUCACAAAAAAUAACACACUAACUCUAUUCUUAAUAUUGUUUUAAACUUGCCUUUGGGAAGAGAGAAAGCAUGGCAUUUCUGACAGUAAACAUGAACGUUUUACCAAAAUCUUCGCUUUAAUCAUGUACUCAAAGCUGAAGUGCUGGAUGUUUUAAAAUUUUAAGUUAUGUAGAGAGAAUAUUUUUCCUUCAUUAAGUUAUUCUUAAAAGAUUUUUAAAACAAAGCUUCA
Molecule: long non-coding RNA, 2304 nt
Organism: Sus scrofa (pig)
Lineage: Eukaryota; Metazoa; Chordata; Mammalia; Artiodactyla; Suidae
Source: RefSeq, a predicted model, not a curated record